Coregonus clupeaformis (lake whitefish) is the source of this 312-nucleotide long non-coding RNA. RefSeq lists it as uncharacterized. The transcript is spliced from 3 exons. Lineage: Eukaryota; Metazoa; Chordata; Actinopteri; Salmoniformes; Salmonidae. The record is from RefSeq and is a predicted model, not a curated record.
CUGUCAACUACGCCUCCCACACUGUGAGAUCUACCCUGGCGAUGGAUGUGACUUCCUGUCUGUAGCCCAUGUGACUGAUGACAUAAUUGAAUUUCUCGAUCCUCAUGAGAUAACAGAAACACACAUCAUCAUAAACAUCACUGGAUUCUGUGAUUAUGGCCUCACCAAGAAUAAGGAUGCUCCUGUCUUCCCUAUCAAAGCACUUGUGUUGUUGUUCUACCGACCAUCAGAUGACCCUGAACUGGAAUCUGUACUGCAUGUGUUGCUGCUGCCUCGGAACGUUGUCCUAAUGAAGGUGCAAGAGGAGAGGGC